RNAcentral lists this ribosomal RNA (685 nucleotides) under uncultured bacterium. Its description in RNAcentral is "bacterial SSU rRNA". It matches the Rfam family "Bacterial small subunit ribosomal RNA", at positions 153 to 827 of the family's 1533-position model. The record is from RNAcentral.
GAAAUGAUAGCUAAUACCGGAUUAAAUAUAGAUUCGUUUCUAUAUUAAAAGGAGCCUUUAAAGCUUCGCUUAAAGAUGGGCCUGCGGCGUAUUAGCUAGUUGGUGAGGUAAUGGCUUACCAAGGCGACGAUGCGUAGCCGAACUGAGAGGUUGAUCGGCCACAUUGGGACUGAGACACGGCCCAAACUCCUACGGGAGACAGCAGUUAGGAAUAUUCGUCAAUGGGGGAAACCCUGAACGAGCAAUGCCGCGUGAACGAUGAAGGCCCUAUGGGUUGUAAAGUUCUGUUGCAUGGGACGAACGGCUAGGAUAGGAAAUGAUCUUAGUGUGACGGUACCAUGCCAGAAAGCUCCGGCUAACUACGUGCCAGCAGCCGCGGUAAUACGUAGGGAGCGAGCGUUAUCCGGAUUUAUUGGGCGUAAAGGGUGCGUAGGCGGUUUGUUAAGUAUGAGAUUAAAGCCUGAGGCUUAACCUCAGUUCGUUUCAUAAACUGGUAGACUUGAGUAUGGCAGAGGUAAACGGAAUUUCUAGUGUAACGGUUAAAUGCGUAGAUAUUAGAAGGAACACCAGUGGCGAAGGCGGUUUACUGGGCCAUAACUGACGCUGAGGCACGAAAGCGUGGGGAGCAAAUAGGAUUAGAUACCCUAGUAGUCCACGCCGUAAACGAUGAGUACUAAGUGUUGGG